Molecule: ribosomal RNA, 639 nt
Filed under: uncultured Actinomycetes bacterium
Lineage: Bacteria; Bacillati; Actinomycetota; Actinomycetes
Description: bacterial SSU rRNA
Rfam family: Bacterial small subunit ribosomal RNA
Source: RNAcentral
CGCGGCCUAUCAGCUUGUUGGUGGGGUAACGGCUCACCAAGGCAUCGACGGGUAGCUGGUCUGAGAGGACGAUCAGCCACACUGGGACUGAGACACGGCCCAGACUCCUGCGGGAGGCAACAGUGGGGAAUAUUGCGCAAUGGGCGAAAGCCUGACGCAGCAACGCCGCGUGGGGGAUGAAGGCCUUCGGGUUGUAAACCCCUUUCAGCAGGGACGAAAUUGACGGUACCUGCAGAAGAAGCGCCGGCCAACUACGUGCCAGCAGCCGCGGUGACACGUAGGGGGCGAGCGUUGUCCGGAUUCAUUGGGCGUAAAGGGCUCGUAGGCGGUUUAGUAAGUCAGGUGUGAAAACUUGGGGCUCAACUCUGAGACUGCACUCGAUACUGCCAUGACUAGAGUCCGGUAGAGGAGUGUGGAAUUCCUGGUGUAGCGGUGAAAUGCGCAGAUAUCAGGAGGAACACCGAUAGCGAAGGCAGCACUCUGGGCCGGUACUGACGCUCAGGAGCGAAAGCGUGGGUAGCAAACAGGAUUAGAUACCCUGGUAGUCCACGCCGUAAACGUUGGGCACUAGGUGUGGGUCCCAUCCAACGGGAUCUGUGCCGCAGCUAACGCAUUAAGUGCCCCGCCUGGGGAGUACGG